AUGAGCAGCUCGAUGAGCAUGGUGGAGGCAAGGCUGCCGCCGGGGUUCCGGUUCCACCCCAGGGACCACGAGCUCGUGCUGGACUACCUCUGCCACAAGCUCUCUGGCGGUGGUGGCCGCGCCGGCGGCGUGGACAUGGUCGACGUCGACCUCAACAAGUGCGAGCCAUGGGAGCUUCCAGACGCGGCGUGCGUGGGCGGCAAGGAGUGGUACUUCUUCAGCCGGCACGACCGCAAGUACGCGACCGGGCAGCGCACCAACCGCGCCACACACACCGGCUACUGGAAGGCCACGGGCAAGGACCGCGUCAUCACCGGCGACGGCGCGGCGGCGGUCGUCGGGAUGCGCAAGACGCUCGUCUUCUACCUGGGGAGAGCCCCCCGGGGAACCAAGACCGAGUGGGUCAUGCACGAGUUCCGCGCCGAGGGCCGCCCGCCGGCCCGCCGUCAGCUCGCCGACCACCCCCACGGCUCGCCGCCGUUUCUCCUCGAGGAGGACUGGGUGCUGUGCAGGGUGUUCUACAAAAGCACAACAGCUGCUCCAACACCGGCCUCCGACGAGUCAUCAGGUUCCCAGAGCAGCGAGGUCGGCAUGGCGCCGGCACUUCUGCCCAUAGCACCCAUCGACGCCGUUGGCCGCAUGCCCAUGGCUGCGAUCACCGACAGCUUCCGUGGGCACCAGGAGUACUCCACCAGCCUCCUCAUGGCCCCGCAGCACUGGCCGGUGGCGCCAUUGCCGUUCAGGAGCUUCAGGGACCUGCUAGGCGACAUGGUGGAAAGCAGCAGCGGUGACCCGAAGCCGGAGUGGAGCGUAGACGACGGCUAUACGCGGCACAGCGGCAUGCCGCAGGCUUGGAAUCCGUUCUGA
This 867-nucleotide ribosomal RNA is filed under the name Triticum aestivum (bread wheat). RNAcentral describes it as "partial small subunit ribosomal RNA". Lineage: Eukaryota; Viridiplantae; Streptophyta; Magnoliopsida; Poales; Poaceae. The record is from RNAcentral.